Molecule: ribosomal RNA, 465 nt
Filed under: Vreelandella stevensii
Lineage: Bacteria; Pseudomonadati; Pseudomonadota; Gammaproteobacteria; Oceanospirillales; Halomonadaceae
Description: partial 16S ribosomal RNA
Rfam family: Bacterial small subunit ribosomal RNA
Source: RNAcentral
CCUACGGGUGGCUGCAGUGGGGAAUAUUGGACAAUGGGGGGAACCCUGAUCCAGCCAUGCCGCGUGUGUGAAGAAGGCCCUCGGGUUGUAAAGCACUUUCAGUGAGGAAGAACGCCUGGUGGUUAAUACCCAUCAGGAAAGACAUCACUCACAGAAGAAGCACCGGCUAACUCCGUGCCAGCAGCCGCGGUAAUACGGAGGGUGCGAGCGUUAAUCGGAAUUACUGGGCGUAAAGCGCGCGUAGGUGGCUUGAUAAGCCGGUUGUGAAAGCCCCGGGCUCAACCUGGGAACGGCAUCCGGAACUGUCAAGCUAGAGUGCAGGAGAGGAAGGUAGAAUUCCCGGUGUAGCGGUGAAAUGCGUAGAGAUCGGGAGGAAUACCAGUGGCGAAGGCGGCCUUCUGGACUGACACUGACACUGAGGUGCGAGAGCGUGGGUAGCAAACAGGAUUAGAUACCCGAGUAGUC